GAAGGGAAAGAAGGGGAGGAGAGGACAUUAUUACCUGAUAGAAAGUCCAGUGUGAGGUGGAACUUCAGGAGUCAGGUGGAGUCUAGGGCAAAGUGGAGCUCCAGGUAGAGGUGGAUCAGGCACGAGACAGGAGAAUCGAGAGGACAAGAGACAACGUCGCAAGGUAAGAUUUCUAUUGCCGCAGGAUGAUGCCCCAAAUAGGUCUCA
Molecule: long non-coding RNA, 207 nt
Filed under: Elaeis guineensis (African oil palm)
Lineage: Eukaryota; Viridiplantae; Streptophyta; Magnoliopsida; Arecales; Arecaceae
Description: long non-coding RNA (EGUI_LNC036589)
Source: RNAcentral